AUGAAAUCUUCGAGAAAAGCUACAAAAUUGAGACAACCCAAGCCUAAAGAGCAUGGUGGAGAGCAAAAUGCAGCCGCAGGGCAGGUUGAGACAAACCAACAAGGACUUUCUUUGGAGAGGAAGAUCGAACUCGAGAAGCAGAGACGAUUUACCCUGAUCAACGAGGUCAACCGCUUAACGGCUGCAGUUAAAGAAAGACAGGACAAGCUAGAAGGUUUAAAGAAAGUGAUAGCCCUUCAGCACUCAGAGAAAAACACAGAAGAAACAGAGAAACAAUAUCAGGAAAUUCAUCAGCUGGAGAUCAGCCUGAAGAGGAUGAAAGAUAGGACGGAGGAGAAGAGAAAAGACAUCGCUGUUGCUAGAUCAGUUUCUGCAAACCUGAACUUGAAAAGUUCAGCUUUGGAUAAGGAGCUGAAGCAAAGGGAACGCCAGCUCGGACUGAUGGAACUGGAGAAAGCAAAAAAGCAGCGCUGCUUGGAUUUGGCUGCUGCCAAAAGCAAAGAGGUCCAGAUGAAAAACGAGGCUCUGGAACAGAGAAAGGAAAUGAGUGCUGAGAUGCAGAAGCUCCUCGCUCAUCAGAAGGAGGCCCAAACUGGUUUACAGGCCAUGAGACAGAGUGUCCUGAUCCCAGGGAAUAAUCUGGCAGAAGCUGAUGUCCAACUGCUAGAGAAUGGCUUGGAGGACACGACAGACUUUUUGGACUUCGGUGAAAUUAAGCAACUCACGGAAGCGUACCUCAUCAAUGAAGACAUCAGAGAGAAGCAAUACAUCCUGAAAAACCUGAAGCUUGACUACAUGAUCCUCCAGCACAGUGACAAAGCAAAGUGGCAAAGUUCCGACAAUGUCACGGAAGAGGGAAUGAUGGAGCUGAAUAAGGAAGUGCACCGUGUGGAAGACCUGAGGGCUGCUCUGAAGGAGCCCCAAGCUCUGUUGUCCGCUGCUGAGCAGAAGAUCGAUGCCGUGUGUCUUCGACUGAACUGCAUACCUUUAGAGGAAUUAUCAUCAAUGUCCAACAAGAAAAAAAUAAGGAGAAUCCGCAUCCAGCUCAACUCGCAGAAGACUGACAAGAGCAGCAAUCAGAAGAAGGUUUAUAACAUGGAAGGUGAGAGAAACAACCAGACCCAAAUCGCUUCGCCACCCGAGGAGAUGUGAUGUUUCAUUAUAAUGUUCCAUAAUUCAUAACUAAUAUCCAGGAGCUUGCUGGACAACGUUGGAAAUGUUCCAACGCUGAAACAUUUCUGCACAAGUGCUUUUGUUUGAGCUUCAGAAGCUCGUCAAAGAGGUCAUUCGCUCUUGUUUUAACACAUUUGAAGUGGUCUCUAGUAGGAAUGAAGGCCUUUUAGGCCAGACUCGACAGGAAAAAAAGCUCCGGUGUGCGACAGAAUUUGGAGUUGCAAACAGCAACACAACUCUACCCCUGACUCUGGCCCUGUCCACACGUAGCCGGGGAUCUGCCAAAACGUAGAUAUUUUUCUACGUUUUGGCCUGUCAUCCACACGAAAACGGAGUUUUUUCACACGAAAACGGAUCUUUUUAAAAACUCCGGCCAAAGUGAAGAUCUGCGUUUUCUCCGUUUUGGGUGUCUGCGUGUGGACGGACAAAACCGGAGUUUUAAGGUCCACAACGUCACUUUCCACGACAAAAAAAUGCUGACAUCACGUGUGCGACCUGUGUUUACACUAGCCGACAUCAUGGAAGCCUUCAGAGCUGCGCUCGCUUUAUCAAUUGUCCAAGCGCUUUUUGCUUGAUUGUUUUUGCAAGCGGAAUUACUGCUCCUUGCGGAAGACCACAGACGAAGGACGACGUUAAGAACGGGGGAAGUACUGCCACCUACAGGUCUGGGAUGUCCUUAACAACGUAUUUAUCCGGGUACGUGUGGACAGA
Molecule: long non-coding RNA, 1884 nt
Filed under: Nothobranchius furzeri (turquoise killifish)
Lineage: Eukaryota; Metazoa; Chordata; Actinopteri; Cyprinodontiformes; Nothobranchiidae
Description: lncRNA (ENSNFUG00015025113.1)
Source: RNAcentral